Molecule: long non-coding RNA, 250 nt
Organism: Danio aesculapii
Lineage: Eukaryota; Metazoa; Chordata; Actinopteri; Cypriniformes; Danionidae
Exons: 3
Source: RefSeq, a predicted model, not a curated record
CCCUCGCUUUGGAGAGUUGCUGAAGCAUAUAUGAUUUGAUUCGUAGAAUUAUUAUCAAGAAUCAACACAAAGAUAUGUGAAGAUACAUGAGGCACGCUUUGUGAUGUUCAUCGCUAAAGCCACAGUUCUCCAUACAAUAAUACAAGACCCUGACUGUGAUGAUGGCUGAGUAGAGACUGAUUGACAUGGUGUAUUUCCAGAGUUGGUGGAAUGACCAAGCACACCUUCUUGGUCAUUUGUGGUGAUAAUA